Molecule: long non-coding RNA, 276 nt
Filed under: Lathyrus oleraceus (garden pea)
Lineage: Eukaryota; Viridiplantae; Streptophyta; Magnoliopsida; Fabales; Fabaceae
Description: Pisum sativum (pea) long non-coding RNA (PSAT_LNC001006)
Source: RNAcentral
AAAUCCCAAGAAAAGGUCAGGUUGAUCAUGAGACAUUGGUCAACCCUCAUCCCAAAAAUCAGAAUCUAAAAAUAAUUUUAAGUCAUGAAAAUAAAAUUAAUACAAAUAAGUGUGUUAAAAUGGACUAUUAUAAUUAAAAUAAAAUAUUAACAUUAAAUAAAAUAUGAAAAUAAAAAUUAAAUAAAUUAAAUAAAAUAUUAAAGAAUGUGAAAAAUAUUUUUUGGUAUUUUUGUGAACAAAUAAAAUAUUUUUAUUAAUUAAAAAGCAAAACAGAAA